GGGGAUAUGGCGAAAUCGGCAGACGCAACGGACUUAAAAUCCGUUGAGAGCAAUCUCGUGUGGGUUCAAGUCCCACUGUCCCCACCA
Molecule: transfer RNA, 87 nt
Filed under: Faecalibaculum rodentium
Lineage: Bacteria; Bacillati; Bacillota; Erysipelotrichia; Erysipelotrichales; Erysipelotrichaceae
Description: tRNA-Leu
Rfam family: tRNA
About the family: Transfer RNA (tRNA) molecules are approximately 80 nucleotides in length. Their secondary structure includes four short double-helical elements and three loops (D, anti-codon, and T loops). Further hydrogen bonds mediate the characteristic L-shaped molecular structure. tRNAs have two regions of fundamental functional importance: the anti-codon, which is responsible for specific mRNA codon recognition, and the 3' end, to which the tRNAs corresponding amino acid is attached (by aminoacyl-tRNA synthetases). tRNAs cope with the degeneracy of the genetic code in two manners: having more than one tRNA (with a specific anti-codon) for a particular amino acid; and 'wobble' base-pairing, i.e. permitting non-standard base-pairing at the 3rd anti-codon position.
Source: RNAcentral